UUACGGCCAUACCACGUUGAAACACUAAUUCCCGUACGGUCACCGAAGUUAAACAACGUGGUGCCUGGUCAGUAACUACAUAGGUGACAGCUUUGUAAUAGCAGGUGCUGUAAG
This is a non-coding RNA of Acanthosepion pharaonis, 114 nucleotides long. NCBI's taxonomy places the organism in Eukaryota, Metazoa, Mollusca, Cephalopoda, Sepiida, Sepiidae. The record is from the annotation of a GenBank genome assembly.